Molecule: ribosomal RNA, 530 nt
Filed under: Bifidobacterium longum subsp. suillum
Lineage: Bacteria; Bacillati; Actinomycetota; Actinomycetes; Bifidobacteriales; Bifidobacteriaceae
Description: bacterial SSU rRNA
Rfam family: Bacterial small subunit ribosomal RNA
Source: RNAcentral
UGGUAAUGCCGGAUGCUCCAGUUGAUCGCAUGGUCUUCUGGGAAAGCUUUCGCGGUAUGGGAUGGGGUCGCGUCCUAUCAGCUUGACGGCGGGGUAACGGCCCACCGUGGCUUCGACGGGUAGCCGGCCUGAGAGGGCGACCGGCCACAUUGGGACUGAGAUACGGCCCAGACUCCUACGGGAGGCAGCAGUGGGGAAUAUUGCACAAUGGGCGCAAGCCUGAUGCAGCGACGCCGCGUGAGGGAUGGAGGCCUUCGGGUUGUAAACCUCUUUUAUCGGGGAGCAAGCGAGAGUGAGUUUACCCGUUGAAUAAGCACCGGCUAACUACGUGCCAGCAGCCGCGGUAAUACGUAGGGUGCAAGCGUUAUCCGGAAUUAUUGGGCGUAAAGGGCUCGUAGGCGGUUCGUCGCGUCCGGUGUGAAAGUCCAUCGCUUAACGGUGGAUCCGCGCCGGGUACGGGCGGGCUUGAGUGCGGUAGGGGAGACUGGAAUUCCCGGUGUAACGGUGGAAUGUGUAGAUAUCGGAAAAAA